AAUCGAUUUGGGGGAAAAAUCCCUAGACUCAUCCCCCUCCUUCCUCUCGGUGAAAGCGCCGCUCCACCCGGGUUGCCGGAGCGCCGCCGGCGUUUCCCCUCGGCAUCCCGCGUCGCUGCCCUGCUGAUGUUGCACCGUCGGAGAAGGAGAGGAGGCAUCGCCUCUCUCUCUCUCUCUGCACAAAUGGCUCCGCUCUCUUUUCCCCGGCGAAUUCAGUGUCGCCUCCUUCAAUCGCCGGUGCUUCGUCGCCAUUCGUCACUCUCAUCCUCGGCGAAAAUUUGGAGCUCCGUCGGUGGGAACUCCCGUCUCUCUCUCUCUCUCCGUCGAGUUCGGAGAAGUCCUCGGCUGCCCGACGAGCAGGGCUACCGCCUGCUGCGCCGCUCCAGCCAUCUCCGCCUUUCCCCCUCUUCUCCGGCGAUUCGCCGCUGCCGUCUUCACCUCAGGAGCUUAGGCUCGCCGUGGAGUUCCAGCCACGGUUGCUGCCUUCGUCACGUGGUCAGCCCCUGCUGCCCAUACGAAACCGGCAGCCACCGUCCUUCGCCGAGUCUCUCUCGAACCGCCACGGUAGUCCCCGAAACAACUCCGAACAGCCCCGACUCACCCCGAAGAUAAGUUCUCUACUCCAAGUUAUGUUCUUCUCUGUAUAUUUUUUCAAUUAACAGCCGGGGGGGGUGUUCGAUUUGAUUGUGCUUAAAAGAGUUGAUUUUGGAGGGACAUUAGCUCCCUGAAACGAAAUUCUACAUAUGCGUGCUACUGAUUUCGAGCAUAAAGGCAGCCUAUUGUACUCUUGUUCCAUUUAUGUGUUAAAGCUCUAACAAUGCUACUACUGUUAUGAGAUUUCUAUAGCUAUGAUUCUGUGUUCUUGAGCUAGCAUGAUGUUCUAAACAAGGGCAGAGGGUGUGCUUGUGUUAUAUUGAUUGUGAUUCUUAAGUUGUGGUGCCUCUAUAUGAUGACAUGAAAAUUGAUUGGGAGAAAAAGAAAAUGGAGGUGUAUUACCUCUGGAAAACGAAGGAGUGGCUGACUUUGCGGCUGUUCACUACUUGCUCCACCCUCUAACUCUCUGUUUUUGCUGAAAUUUUGAAGUGUGUGUGAAAGGAGUUGGUAUGUGGUGUGGAGAGGUCUUUAUAGGCUGAGCUUUGGUGUACUAUGGGGAAUUAAUUUGGCUGUUAUACUACCUUAUUCCCUUCUUGCAGAGAUCCCCCUUUUGACUAUGUUUCUGCAGCAAGAUAUACUUGAGAAUUGGCUCUAUUUGAAUACUUAGUACUUGGCUAUUAACUCCCAUUGUUUGCUUGUGGCUGGUGAGAAACAGGUGCUGCAUUAGGGUGGAGGAUUAGCAGGCUGGACUUGCCCCCUUUUGGGUUGGGAGGGGACUUGGGCUGCCAAGCUGCUGUCCGAGACGGCUUGAUGCCUCGGCCCAACGGGCUGAUCGGAGAGGGCUGCGACUUCCGGCCCGGAAGAAGAGACCCGAUGCCAUUUGUUCCAUGCAUAUUUCAUCUUUUUUUUUUGUUUCUUAGUUGUCAUUAAUUAAGCCUUGUUCUAAGUAUUGUAGUAUUUGAACAUUA
Long non-coding RNA from Salvia hispanica, 1562 nucleotides. RefSeq lists it as uncharacterized. The record is from RefSeq and is a predicted model, not a curated record. Lineage: Eukaryota; Viridiplantae; Streptophyta; Magnoliopsida; Lamiales; Lamiaceae.